Molecule: ribosomal RNA, 2889 nt
Filed under: Acinetobacter baumannii 1552818
Lineage: Bacteria; Pseudomonadati; Pseudomonadota; Gammaproteobacteria; Moraxellales; Moraxellaceae
Description: bacterial LSU rRNA
Rfam family: Bacterial large subunit ribosomal RNA
Source: RNAcentral
CAAGUAAUUAAGUGCAUGUGGUGGAUGCCUUGGCAGUCAGAGGCGAUGAAAGACGUGAUAGCCUGCGAAAAGCUCCGGGGAGGCGGCAAAUAUCCUUUGAUCCGGAGAUGUCUGAAUGGGGGAACCCACCUACUUUAAGGUAGGUAUUGCAACAUGAAUACAUAGUGUUGCAAGGCGAACGAGGGGAAGUGAAACAUCUCAGUACCCUUAGGAAAAGAAAUCAAUUGAGAUUCCCUCAGUAGCGGCGAGCGAACGGGGAUCAGCCCAUUAAGUUAUGUGUGUUUUAGUGGAACGCUCUGGGAAGUGCGAACGUAGAGGGUGAUAUUCCCGUACACGAAAGGGCACACAUAAUGAUGACGAGUAGGGCGAGGCACGUGAAACCUUGUCUGAAUAUGGGGGGACCAUCCUCCAAGGCUAAAUACUCCUGACUGACCGAUAGUGAACCAGUACCGUGAGGGAAAGGCGAAAAGAACCCCUGUGAGGGGAGUGAAAUAGAUCCUGAAACCGCAUGCAUACAAGCAGUGGGAGCACCUUCGUGGUGUGACUGCGUACCUUUUGUAUAAUGGGUCAGCGACUUAUAUUCAGUAGCGAGGUUAACCGUAUAGGGGAGCCGUAGAGAAAUCGAGUCUUAAUAGGGCGUUUAGUUGCUGGGUAUAGACCCGAAACCAGGCGAUCUAUCCAUGAGCAGGUUGAAGGUUGGGUAACACUAACUGGAGGACCGAACCCACUGUCGUUGAAAAGCCAGGGGAUGACUUGUGGAUAGGGGUGAAAGGCUAAUCAAGCCUGGUGAUAGCUGGUUCUCCCCGAAAGCUAUUUAGGUAGCGCCUCGGACGAAUACCAUAGGGGGUAGAGCACUGUUUCGGCUAGGGGGUCAUCCCGACUUACCAAACCGAUGCAAACUCCGAAUACCUAUGAGUACUAUCCGGGAGACAGACUGCGGGUGCUAACGUCCGUAGUCAAGAGGAAAACAAUCCAGACCGCCAGCUAAGGCCCCAAAAUCAUAGUUAAGUGGGAAACGAUGUGGGAAGGCAUAGACAGCUAGGAGGUUGGCUUAGAAGCAGCCACCCUUUAAAGAAAGCGUAAUAGCUCACUAGUCGAGUCGGCCUGCGCGGAAGAUGUAACGGGGCUAAAACUAUGUGCCGAAGCUGCGGAUGUAUACUUUGUAUACGUGGUAGGGGAGCGUUCUGUAAGCCGAUGAAGGUGUGUUGAGAAGCAUGCUGGAGGUAUCAGAAGUGCGAAUGCUGACGUGAGUAACGACAAAACGGGUGAAAAACCCGUUCGCCGAAAGACCAAGGGUUCCAGUCCAACGUUAAUCGGGGCUGGGUGAGUCGACCCCUAAGGCGAGGCCGAAAGGCGUAGUCGAUGGGAAAAUGGUUAAUAUUCCAUUACUUCUGUGUAAUGCGAUGAGAGGACGGAGAAGGCUAAAUCAGCCUGGCGUUGGUUGUCCAGGUGAAAGGAUGUAGGCAUGUAUCUUAGGCAAAUCCGGGGUACUCUAUGCUGAGAUCUGAUAGCAAGCUGUACUUGUACAGCGAAGUGGUUGAUGCCAUGCUUCCAGGAAAAGUCUCUAAGCUUCAGUUACACAGGAAUCGUACCCGAAACCGACACAGGUGGUCAGGUCGAGUAGACCAAGGCGCUUGAGAGAACUCUGCUGAAGGAACUAGGCAAAAUGGUACCGUAACUUCGGGAGAAGGUACGCUGUUGUUGGUGAUGGAACUCGCUUCCUGAGCUGACGACAGCCGCAGAAACCAGGCCGCUGCAACUGUUUAUUAAAAACAUAGCACUCUGCAAACACGAAAGUGGACGUAUAGGGUGUGAUGCCUGCCCGGUGCUGGAAGGUUAAUUGAUGGGGUUAGCGUAAGCGAAGCUCUUGAUCGAAGCCCCAGUAAACGGCGGCCGUAACUAUAACGGUCCUAAGGUAGCGAAAUUCCUUGUCGGGUAAGUUCCGACCUGCACGAAUGGCAUAAUGAUGGCGGCGCUGUCUCCAGCAGAGGCUCAGUGAAAUCGAAAUCGCUGUGAAGAUGCAGUGUACCCGCGGCUAGACGGAAAGACCCCGUGAACCUUUACUGCAGCUUGACACUGAACUUUGACCUUACUUGUGUAGGAUAGGUGGGAGGCUUUGAAGCUGGAACGCUAGUUCCAGUGGAGCCGUCCUUGAAAUACCACCCUGGUAAUGUUGAGGUUCUAACUCUGUCCCGUGAUCCGGGACGAGGACCGUGUCUGGUGGGUAGUUUGACUGGGGCGGUCUCCUCCUAAAGAGUAACGGAGGAGUACGAAGGUGCGCUCAGCGUGGUCGGAAAUCACGCGUAGAGUAUAAAGGCAAAAGCGCGCUUAACUGCGAGACCCACAAGUCGAGCAGGUACGAAAGUAGGUCUUAGUGAUCUGGUGGUUCUGUAUGGAAGGGCCAUCGCUCAACGGAUAAAAGGUACUCUGGGGAUAACAGGCUGAUACCGCCCAAGAGUUCAUAUCGACGGCGGUGUUUGGCACCUCGAUGUCGGCUCAUCUCAUCCUGGGGCUGAAGCAGGUCCCAAGGGUAUGGCUGUUCGCCAUUUAAAGAGGUACGCGAGCUGGGUUUAGAACGUCGUGAGACAGUUCGGUCCCUAUCUACGGUGGGCGCUGGAAAUUUGAGAGGAUCUGCUCCUAGUACGAGAGGACCAGAGUGGACGAACCUCUGGUGUACCGGUUGUGACGCCAGUCGCAUCGCCGGGUAGCUAUGUUCGGAAGGGAUAACCGCUGAAAGCAUCUAAGCGGGAAGCCUACCUCAAGAUAAGAUUUCCCUAGGACUUUAUGUCCUCUAAAGAGCCGUUCGAGACUAGGACGUUGAUAGGUUGGAUGUGGAAGCAUAGUGAUAUGUGAAGCUGACCAAUACUAAUUGCUCGUGAGGCUUGACUA